This 567-nucleotide ribosomal RNA is filed under the name uncultured Actinomycetes bacterium. Its description in RNAcentral is "bacterial SSU rRNA". It matches the Rfam family "Bacterial small subunit ribosomal RNA", at positions 338 to 916 of the family's 1533-position model. RNAcentral also lists the same sequence under 1 other name. Lineage: Bacteria; Bacillati; Actinomycetota; Actinomycetes. The record is from RNAcentral.
CCUACGGGAGGCAGCAGUGGGGAAUAUUGGGCAAUGGGCGAAAGCCUGACCCAGCGACGCCGCGUGCGGGAUGAAGGCCUUCGGGUUGUAAACCGCUUUCAGCAGGGAAGAAGCGAAAGUGACGGUACCUGAAGAAGAAGCACCGGCUAACUAUGUGCCAGCAGCCGCGGUAAUACAUAGGGUGCAAGCGUUGUCCGGAAUUAUUGGGCGUAAAGAGCUCGUAGGUGGUUCGUUACGUCGGAUGUGAAAACCUGAGGCUCAACCUCAGGCCUGCAUUCGAUACGGGCGAACUUGAGUGUGGUAGGGGAGGCUGGAAUUCCUGGUGUAGCGGUGGAAUGCGCAGAUAUCAGGAGGAACACCAAUGGCGAAGGCAGGCCUCUGGGCCACUACUGACACUGAGGAGCGAAAGCGUGGGGAGCAAACAGGAUUAGAUACCCUGGUAGUCCACGCUGUAAACGGUGGGCACUAGUUGUGGGAACCUUCCACGGUUUCUGCGACGUAGCAAACGCAUUAAGUGCCCCGCCUGGGGAGUACGAUCGCAAGAUUAAAACUCAAAGGAAUUGACGG